GGACUACUCGGGUAUCUAAUCCCGUUCGCUCCCCUAGCUUUCGCGCCUCAGCGUCAGUGUCGGCCCAGCUACCCGCCUUCGCCGCAGGUGUUCCUCUCGAUAUCUACGCAUUUCACCGCUACACCGAGAAUUCCAGUAGCCCCUUCCGCACUCUAGCACGACAGUAUCACUUGGCCGCUCCGAGUUAAGCCCGGAGAUUUCACAAGUGACUUGUUGCGCCGCCUACGCGCCCUUUACGCCCAGUAAAUCCGAACAACGCUUGCUCCCCCCGUAUUACCGCGGCGGCUGGCAC
RNAcentral lists this unclassified non-coding RNA (292 nucleotides) under uncultured Acidobacteriota bacterium. RNAcentral's name for it is "uncultured Acidobacteria bacterium contains 16S-23S intergenic spacer region". The record is from RNAcentral. Lineage: Bacteria; Pseudomonadati; Acidobacteriota.